UUGGAGGGCAAGUCUGGUGCCAGCAGCCGCGGUAAUUCCAGCUCCAAUAGCGUAUAUUAAAGUUGUUGCAGUUAAAAAGCUCGUAGUUGAAUUUCGGGAUCAGAUUGUCGGUCGUGCCUCGGUACGCACUGGUAUUAUUGGUUCCUACCUUCUGAAGAACCGCGAUGUCAUUAAUUUGGUGUCGUGGGGAAUCAGGACUGUUACUUUGAAAAAAUUAGAGUGUUUAAAGCAGGCUUACGCUUGAAUACAUUAGCAUGGAAUAAUGAAAUAGGACGUUUGAUUCUAUUUUGUUGGUUUCUAGGAUUGACGUAAUGAUUAAUAGGGAUAGUUGGGGGCAUUAGUAUUCAAUUGUCAGAGGUGAAAUUCUUGGAUUUAUUGAAGACUAACUACUGCGAAAGCAUUUGCCAAGGAUGUUUUCAUUAAUCAAGAACGAAAGUUAGGGGAUCGAAGACGAUCAGAUACCGUCGUAGUCUUAACCAUAAACUAUGCCGACUAGGGAUCGGAUGAUGUUAAUUUUUUAAUGACUCAUUCGGCGCCUUACGGGAAACCAAAGUGUUUGGGAWUC
Molecule: ribosomal RNA, 565 nt
Filed under: uncultured Glomeromycotina
Lineage: Eukaryota; Fungi; Glomeromycota
Description: SSU rRNA
Rfam family: Eukaryotic small subunit ribosomal RNA
Source: RNAcentral